This 317-nucleotide ribosomal RNA is filed under the name uncultured bacterium. Its description in RNAcentral is "bacterial SSU rRNA". It matches the Rfam family "Bacterial small subunit ribosomal RNA", at positions 188 to 509 of the family's 1533-position model. The record is from RNAcentral.
CAUGGUGCAGGGGUAAAAGAUUUAUCGGUGUGAGAUGGAUCCGCGUCUGAUUAGCCAGUUGGCGGGGUAACGGCCCACCAAAGCGACGAUCAGUAGCCGGCCUGAGAGGGUGAACGGCCACAUUGGGACUGAGACACGGCCCAAACUCCUACGGGAGGCAGCAGUGGGGAAUAUUGCACAAUGGGCGCAAGCCUGAUGCAGCAACGCCGCGUGAGUGAAGAAGUAUUUCGGUAUGUAAAGCUCUAUCGGCAGGGAAGAAAGGCCCUUAACAGGGAGAUGACGGUACCUGACUAAGAAGCCCCGGCUAACUACGUGCC